RNAcentral lists this unclassified non-coding RNA (332 nucleotides) under soil metagenome. RNAcentral describes it as "partial contains 5.8S ribosomal RNA, internal transcribed spacer 2, and large subunit ribosomal RNA". The stretch from base 1 to 120 matches the Rfam family "5.8S ribosomal RNA", at positions 35 to 154 of the family's 154-position model. The record is from RNAcentral.
GAUGAACAACGCAGCGAAAUGCGAUAAGUAAUGUGAAUUGCAGAAUUCAGUGAAUCAUCGAAUCUUUGAACGCACAUUGCGCCCCCUGGUAUUCCGGGGGGCAUGCCUGUUCGAGCGUCAUUUAAACCUUCAAGCUAAGCUUGGUGUUGGGUGACUGUCCGCUUCACGGCGGACUCGCCUCAAAAUUAUUGGCGGCCGGUACAUUGGCUUCGAGCGCAGCAGAAACGCGAACUCGGGCCCGUCGUAUUGGCUCCCAGAAGCUAUCUUCACAAUUUUGACCUCGGAUCAGGUAGGGAUACCCGCUGAACUUAAGCAUAUCAAUAAGCGGAGGA